This 203-nucleotide long non-coding RNA is filed under the name Sorghum bicolor (sorghum). RNAcentral describes it as "long non-coding RNA (SBIC_LNC005250)". Lineage: Eukaryota; Viridiplantae; Streptophyta; Magnoliopsida; Poales; Poaceae. The record is from RNAcentral.
CUAGCUUGUAUCUAUACUUUUAUCUUUUAUAUUCUUUACUUAUUUUCUUUAUUCUUACCUUAUGGAAAACCAAGAUUCUAAAUCAAUCUACGAAUCUACAAUCCCUUCAGUAACCGACCUUUUACCAUGGGAGUCAUCACAGCCUAUCCAAACAUCCCAGUAUAAGUUAAGUUCUAGGUUGAUUGCCAUGAUUCAAAACCUAU